GGGCCCGAACAGGUUUCGACCGGGAUGUCGAGACGGUUUGCAGCGCGCCGUGGACGCUCGUUGGCCACGUAAAACAUCGAGCACAAAACACAAAUGCCAAGCCGGCAUACGCUCUGGCGGCAUAACUGCAGCCACGUCACCUGAGCUCUGCCCACUGCCGCGAAAGCGGGGGUUCAGGACCGACGUUAAUGUGUGGGAUAUGCGGACACGUCAGACCAGCUGGGCGUGAAAGCGAGAAGGCACGUGCUGGGAGGGUCGCCGGGAUCCCGUCGAUGGGAGCCUGGAGGCCGAGAUAAAUCGUCGACUACGCGCGUAGGAUAGCGGUCGUUCAGUCAUUCCGGGACGGCGGUUCGAUUCCGCCCGGGUCCACUU
Molecule: transfer-messenger RNA, 372 nt
Filed under: Planctomycetaceae bacterium
Lineage: Bacteria; Pseudomonadati; Planctomycetota; Planctomycetia; Planctomycetales; Planctomycetaceae
Rfam family: transfer-messenger RNA
About the family: Bacterial tmRNA, also known as 10Sa RNA or SsrA, is named for its dual tRNA and mRNA-like properties. Its role is to liberate the mRNA from a stalled ribosome.
Source: RNAcentral